Molecule: transfer RNA, 76 nt
Filed under: Schleiferia thermophila
Lineage: Bacteria; Pseudomonadati; Bacteroidota; Flavobacteriia; Flavobacteriales; Schleiferiaceae
Also listed under: 2 other names
Description: tRNA-Lys
Rfam family: tRNA
About the family: Transfer RNA (tRNA) molecules are approximately 80 nucleotides in length. Their secondary structure includes four short double-helical elements and three loops (D, anti-codon, and T loops).
Source: RNAcentral
GACUCGGUAGCUCAGCAGGUAGAGCACAACACUUUUAAUGUUGGGGUCCUGGGUUCGAGCCCCAGCCGAGUCACCA